UACGUAGGGGGCAAGCGAUAUCCGGAUUUACUGGGUGUAAAGGGAGCGUAGACGGCAGUGCAAGUCUGGAGUGAAAGGCGGGGGCUCAACCCCCGGACUGCUCUGGAAACUGUACGGCUGGAGUGCAGGAGAGGUAAGUGGAAUUCCUAGUGUAGCGGUGAAAUGCGUAGAUAUUAGGAGGAACACCAGUGGCGAAGGCGGCUUACUGGACUGUAACUGACGUUGAGGCUCGAAAGCGUGGGGAGCAAACAGG
Molecule: ribosomal RNA, 253 nt
Filed under: uncultured bacterium
Lineage: Bacteria
Description: partial 16S ribosomal RNA
Rfam family: Bacterial small subunit ribosomal RNA
Source: RNAcentral